GGCGGUGUAGCCCAAUGGCAGGAGGCGGCAGAUUCAAAACCUGUACAGUGUGGGUUCGAAUCCCACCACCGCUAC
Molecule: transfer RNA, 75 nt
Filed under: Streptomyces phage SparkleGoddess
Lineage: Duplodnaviria; Heunggongvirae; Uroviricota; Caudoviricetes; Stanwilliamsviridae
Also listed under: 5 other names
Description: tRNA-Leu
Rfam family: tRNA
About the family: Transfer RNA (tRNA) molecules are approximately 80 nucleotides in length.
Source: RNAcentral